This 521-nucleotide ribosomal RNA is filed under the name uncultured Enterococcus sp. Its description in RNAcentral is "bacterial SSU rRNA". It matches the Rfam family "Bacterial small subunit ribosomal RNA", at positions 505 to 1030 of the family's 1533-position model. Lineage: Bacteria; Bacillati; Bacillota; Bacilli; Lactobacillales; Enterococcaceae. The record is from RNAcentral.
GUGCCAGCCGCCGCGGUAAUACGUAGGUGGCAAGCGUUGUCCGGAUUUAUUGGGCGUAAAGCGAGCGCAGGCGGUUUCUUAAGUCUGAUGUGAAAGCCCCCGGCUCAACCGGGGAGGGUCAUUGGAAACUGGGAGACUUGAGUGCAGAAGAGGAGAGUGGAAUUCCAUGUGUAGCGGUGAAAUGCGUAGAUAUAUGGAGGAACACCAGUGGCGAAGGCGGCUCUCUGGUCUGUAACUGACGCUGAGGCUCGAAAGCGUGGGGAGCAAAUAGGAUUAGAUACCCUAGUAGUCCACGCCGUAAACGAUGGAUACUAAGUGUUGGACGGAAGUUCAGUGCUGCAGUUAACGCAAUAAGUAUCCCGCCUGGGGAGUAUGCGCGCAAGCGUAAAACUCAAAGGAAUUGACGGGGCCCGCACAAGCGGUGGAGUAUGUGGUUUAAUUCGAUGCAACGCGAAGAACCUUACCUGGUCUUGACAUCCACAGAAGUUUUCCAGAGAUGGGAAUGUGCCUUAGGGAACUGU